AGAGUUUGAUCAUGGCUCAGAUUGAACGCUGGCGGUAUGCUUAACACAUGCAAGUCGAACGGCAGCACAGUAUGUAGCAAUACAUAUGGGUGGCGAGUGGCGGACGGGUGCGUAACGCGUAGGAAUCUACCUUGAAGCGGGGGGACAACCCGAGGAAACUCGGGCUAAUACCGCAUAAUCUCGCAAGAGUAAAGUUGGGGCAACCUGACACUUCAAGAGGAGCCUGCGUCCGAUUAGCUAGUUGGUGGGGUAAAAGCCUACCAAGGCGAUGAUCGGUAGCUGGUCUGAGAGGAUGACCAGCCACACUGGGACUGAGACACGGCCCAGACUCCUACGGGAGGCAGCAGUGGGGAAUAUUGGACAAUGGGGGCAACCCUGAUCCAGCAAUACCGCGUGUGUGAAGAAGGCCUUCGGGUUGUAAAGCACUUUAGUUGGGGAAGAAGGUAUGUAUUUUAAGAGAUAACAUAUUUGACGGUACCCAAAGAAUAAGCACCGGCUAACUCUGUGCCAGCAGCCGCGGUAAUACAGAGGGUGCGAGCGUUAAUCGGAAUUACUGGGCGUAAAGGGCGCGUAGGCGGUUAGUUAAGUUAGAUGUGAAAUCCCUGGGCUCAACCUAGGAACUGCAUCUGAUACUGGCUAGCUAGAGUGCAGUAGAGGGUAGUGGAAUUUCCGGUGUAGCGGUGAAAUGCGUAGAUAUCAGGAGGAACACCUGUGGUGUAGACAGCUUACUGGACCACGACUGACGCUGAGAACGAAAGCGUGGGUAGCAAACAGGAUUAGAUACCCUAGUAGUCC
RNAcentral lists this ribosomal RNA (795 nucleotides) under uncultured bacterium. RNAcentral describes it as "bacterial SSU rRNA". It matches the Rfam family "Bacterial small subunit ribosomal RNA", at positions 8 to 796 of the family's 1533-position model. The record is from RNAcentral.